AAAUUGAAGAGUUUGAUCAUGGCUCAGAUUGAACGCUGGCGGCAGGCCUAACACAUGCAAGUCGAACGGUAACAGGAAGCAGCUUGCUGCUUCGCUGACGAGUGGCGGACGGGUGAGUAAUGUCUGGGAAACUGCCUGAUGGAGGGGGAUAACUACUGGAAACGGUGGCUAAUACCGCAUAACGUCGCAAGACCAAAGAGGGGGACCUUCGGGCCUCUUGCCAUCAGAUGUGCCCAGAUGGGAUUAGCUUGUUGGUGAGGUAACGGCUCACCAAGGCGACGAUCCCUAGCUGGUCUGAGAGGAUGACCAGCCACACUGGAACUGAGACACGGUCCAGACUCCUACGGGAGGCAGCAGUGGGGAAUAUUGCACAAUGGGCGCAAGCCUGAUGCAGCCAUGCCGCGUGUAUGAAGAAGGCCUUCGGGUUGUAAAGUACUUUCAGCGGGGAGGAAGGUGUUGUGGUUAAUAACCGCAGCAAUUGACGUUACCCGCAGAAGAAGCACCGGCUAACUCCGUGCCAGCAGCCGCGGUAAUACGGAGGGUGCAAGCGUUAAUCGGAAUUACUGGGCGUAAAGCGCACGCAGGCGGUCUGUCAAGUCGGAUGUGAAAUCCCCGGGCUCAACCUGGGAACUGCAUUCGAAACUGGCAGGCUUGAGUCUUGUAGAGGGGGGUAGAAUUCCAGGUGUAGCGGUGAAAUGCGUAGAGAUCUGGAGGAAUACCGGUGGCGAAGGCGGCCCCCUGGACAAAGACUGACGCUCAGGUGCGAAAGCGUGGGGAGCAAACAGGAUUAGAUACCCUGGUAGUCCACGCCGUAAACGAUGUCUACUUGGAGGUUGUGCCCUUGAGGCGUGGCUUCCGGAGCUAACGCGUUAAGUAGACCGCCUGGGGAGUACGGCCGCAAGGUUAAAACUCAAAUGAAUUGACGGGGGCCCGCACAAGCGGUGGAGCAUGUGGUUUAAUUCGAUGCAACGCGAAGAACCUUACCUGGUCUUGACAUCCACGGAAGUUUUCAGAGAUGAGAAUGUGCCUUCGGGAACCGUGAGACAGGUGCUGCAUGGCUGUCGUCAGCUCGUGUUGUGAAAUGUUGGGUUAAGUCCCGCAACGAGCGCAACCCUUAUCCUUUGUUGCCAGCGAUUCGGUCGGGAACUCAAAGGAGACUGCCAGUGAUAAACUGGAGGAAGGUGGGGAUGACGUCAAGUCAUCAUGGCCCUUACGACCAGGGCUACACACGUGCUACAAUGGCGCAUACAAAGAGAAGCGACCUCGCGAGAGCAAGCGGACCUCAUAAAGUGCGUCGUAGUCCGGAUUGGAGUCUGCAACUCGACUCCAUGAAGUCGGAAUCGCUAGUAAUCGUGGAUCAGAAUGCCACGGUGAAUACGUUCCCGGGCCUUGUACACACCGCCCGUCACACCAUGGGAGUGGGUUGCAAAAGAAGUAGGUAGCUUAACCUUCGGGAGGGCGCUUACCACUUUGUGAUUCAUGACUGGGGUGAAGUCGUAACAAGGUAACCGUAGGGGAACCUGCGGUUGGAUCACCUCCUUA
This 1542-nucleotide ribosomal RNA is filed under the name Salmonella enterica. Its description in RNAcentral is "bacterial SSU rRNA". It matches the Rfam family "Bacterial small subunit ribosomal RNA". The record is from RNAcentral. Lineage: Bacteria; Pseudomonadati; Pseudomonadota; Gammaproteobacteria; Enterobacterales; Enterobacteriaceae. RNAcentral also lists the same sequence under 51 other names.